UCAGUGUAAAAAAAUUCGAUGUCUCCAAAAAUUCAGUGUAAAAAUAUUCAGCGCGGACAUCCGGGGUAACCAAGGGAGAAGUAAUCGAUCCCUGUAUCAAAUCAUCCAACGUUCAGCCAAUCAAGUUACGCUCCAUUGGUCAUGUGACGUCGAAACAGGAACGUCGUGAAGUUCAAAAGUGAGCUCCGGUCAGAGCUCAGGAUGGCCCAAAACACAAAUAAUAACGCUUCGGAACUCCUGCUUUAUCAUCUUUUAGAAAGACUUCGCUCUCGAUUGGAGCAUAUUCUGGGACGCAUGCCUCUUGAUCUGGACUUCUUAGAGUUCACUUGCACACAAGAACUUGUGUUAUUAAAUGCUGUAUCCAGUCAAGUAACUGUUUGUCCAGCUAUUCUAGACUCACUGACACAGCUACACAGUCUUAUCAAUCUGGAAAAAGACAAAAGGGAGCAACACAUUGCAGUUGUGCAGUUUGAGCAAGGACCGGCUGGGCGACAAAGAAUGGUCAUAUCCCCAGAGUACCUUAGCAAACCUUUGGAACUUAAUCUGUCUGUUCCAUGUAUAGCUAAACUUUUGGGGAUGUCCAGGCGCACAGUAUACAGACGCAUGGCUGAGUCUGAUCUCUCAGUUAAGGCAUUAUACAGCACUAUGACUGAUGAAGAGUUAGAUCAGUGUGUAAGAGAGAUUAAGUCGAGGCAGCCUCACUCUGGAUAUCGGAUGGUGAAGGCCCUUCUGCAAGCCAGAGGACUGAGGGUGCAGUAUAACCGCGUCAGAGCCUCCAUGCACCGUGUUGACACCACUGGUGUCAUAAGCCGCAUACAAACCAUAAAUUAAUUCGGUAAAUUCUUAUCAAGCAAUGUUUUUGGCAAAAUGCAUACAUUCAAAGUGUGUUUGUAAAGUAUUUGGUAGUUAUCAGUAUGCUCCAUAACACAUUUUUUAUACUGCUGCUUUCAUGUUACUGCAUAUAUAUUAUUAUAUAUAUUAUAUAUUUUAACAUCCAAUCUUGUCUUACAAGGCUACAGGCCAAAUGUCUCACACAAGACCAAAUCCUGUAUGGCAACUGUAAAUACAGGCCAGGAUGUCACAUUUAAAAGAUGUGUAAUCCUUGUAAUGCCCUGGGAUGCGCAGGGUCUCAAAGCAAGUGGAGGCUGUGGGGUAUCUAUGUAUGUAGGAAAACAGAAAUAACAAGAUUGAAAACAGUUAACCUCAGGGCUGAAAUUUCCUGCUCCCUCUUCAGGAAAAAGCAAAGCCACUGUGUCUGGUCUUUGGGUCAACAGUGUCCACAUUGGCGUUUCUUUAAGACCUCGUCUCAGCUGCUUAAUUUGCCUUGUGACACGUCCUAUUACCUGUUAAUAUUAAUAAGACAGAGAGGAUAGAACACAAGAUUCUUCAUCUAAAAGCUUGAAGAGUAACAUAGAAAAAGAAUAAUUCCAUUUUAAUACAUUUAUUAUGCUUCAAUCCUCGAGUGAAUGUGGAAAUAAUACUUUUCUCUUGCAGACUGAUACAAUUCCUUGUAUUUGCAGUAUUACAGACCACCCACUAUCUUUUAUGUUUCAGAGAAAAUAACUUGGUACAACUUGGUAAAGUAAAUCACCUAGUAGUAGUUUGCUGUUAAACAAACGGUGAGUCAGAUAUUUCUUGCCAGCCACAUCAUAACAUCGGAACAGAGUACUAAAGAGCGCAGUACCGAGCGCCAUGUUACCAUGGUAAACAUGCUAAUAUAACGCUAGCUCAUAGCUAGCAAACUUUUAAGGAACACCACUUCAUUAAAAGUUCCCUGUGUAGACAUUGUUCAACAAAUUCUGUUAAGGUGUCCGGUAAAUAAAAUACUGACUUUUACGAACACAAAAGGUAAAUAAAGAGUACACUCACCGAA
This is a long non-coding RNA of Syngnathus typhle (broad-nosed pipefish), 1873 nucleotides long. RefSeq lists it as uncharacterized. The record is from RefSeq and is a predicted model, not a curated record. The transcript has 2 exons. Lineage: Eukaryota; Metazoa; Chordata; Actinopteri; Syngnathiformes; Syngnathidae.